This 492-nucleotide ribosomal RNA is filed under the name uncultured bacterium. RNAcentral's name for it is "partial 16S ribosomal RNA". It matches the Rfam family "Bacterial small subunit ribosomal RNA", at positions 29 to 507 of the family's 1533-position model. The record is from RNAcentral.
AGUGAACGCUGGCGGUAGGCCUAACACAUGCAAGUCGAACGGCAGCACAGUAAGAGCUUGCUCUUACGGGUGGCGAGUGGCGGACGGGUGAGGAAUACAUCGGAAUCUACUUUUUCGUGGGGGAUAACGUAGGGAAACUUACGCUAAUACCGCAUACGACCUACGGGUGAAAGCAGGGGAUCUUCGGACCUUGCGCGAUUGAAUGAGCCGAUGUCGGAUUAGCUAGUUGGCGGGGUAAAGGCCCACCAAGGCGACGAUCCGUAGCUGGUCUGAGAGGAUGAGCAGCCAAACUGGAACGGAGACACGGUCCAGACUCCUACGGGAGGCAGCAGUGGGGAAUAUUGGACAAUGGGCGCAAGCCUGAUCCAGCCAUACCGCGGGGGUGAAGAAGGCCUUCGGGUUGUAAAGCCCUUUUGUUGGGAAAGAAAAGCAGCAGGUUAAUACCCCGCUGUGCUGACGGUACCCAAAGAAGAAGAACCGGCUAACUUCGUG